UCUACGGGAGGCAGCAGUGGGGAAUAUUGCACAAUGGGGGGAACCCUGAUGCAGCGACGCCGCGUGAGUGAAGAAGUAUUUCGGUAUGUAAAGCUCUAUCAGCAGGGAAGAAGAUGACGGUACCUGACUAAGAAGCCCCGGCUAACUACGUGCCAGCAGCCGCGGUAAUACGUAGGGGGCAAGCGUUAUCCGGAUUUACUGGGUGUAAAGGGAGCGUAGACGGCAGGGCAAGUCUGGAGUGAAAGCCCGGGGCCCAACCCCGGGACUGCUUUGGAAACUGCCAUGCUAGAGUGCUGGAGAGGUAAGCGGAAUUCCUAGUGUAGCGGUGAAAUGCUUAGAUAUCACGAAGAACCCCGAUUGCGAAGGCAGCUUACUAAACUGUGACUGACAUUGAUGCUCGAAAGUGUGGGUAUCAAACAGGAUUAGAUACCCGAGUAGUC
RNAcentral lists this ribosomal RNA (440 nucleotides) under uncultured bacterium. RNAcentral's name for it is "partial 16S ribosomal RNA". It matches the Rfam family "Bacterial small subunit ribosomal RNA", at positions 338 to 795 of the family's 1533-position model. The record is from RNAcentral.